Long non-coding RNA from Alosa alosa (allis shad), 2135 nucleotides. RefSeq lists it as uncharacterized. The transcript has 3 exons. The record is from RefSeq and is a predicted model, not a curated record. Lineage: Eukaryota; Metazoa; Chordata; Actinopteri; Clupeiformes; Clupeidae.
GCAUGCAUGACCUUGAGAGCAGCAACCUUAGAGACAGGUGAUGAAUUUAUGAAAGUUGUGGAAACUUCAUUAAAAGAUGGAUCUGACCAAAGUUGUGAUGGAAUGAUGAACAUCGUCGACCGCAUCUUACAGGCUUCUUCCCAGUGUGUCCUAUGGCUUUUGAAAAAUAUCUUUACACGGACAGUCCAUUUGGAGACUCCAAAAAAAGGACCUUUGGUUACCAAGACGGCAUAUUGAAGCAGGGUUCCUGCGGUCAUGGAAAACCUGGAAAAGUCAUGGUAUUGUAUAAUCCCAUUUUCCAGGCCUGGAGAAAUCAUGGAAUACAGAAAAUUCAUUUAAAGGUUUGGAAAAGUCCAUGGAAUUUAAUUUUGUCUACCAUAUUCUUGAGAUAGUGGACCUCAUGCCACAUAAAUCUAUUGCGUCCUUCAUGGAUAAAGAAUGGUGUGAGAGAAAUGGAGUACAUUUUAUCCAAACUCAUUCAAAUCACAUUUUAUAAUUAACCCCAACCUGUGGCAUAAACGUAUGGUAAGCAGUGUUGUACUUGUAGGCAGUAAAGUCAUAGAAAUUUAAUUCAAGAUCAUUGACAAAUCAUUGAAAGGUUUUCACAUUUUGUCAUUGAAAAUGGGUGUGAACCCCGUUGGAAGAUGAAGGUGCACAGGAUGAAGUAAUGAAUCUAUUUCAAUUAGUCAUUUUGGCAUCACAUGUGAAAGGAGGGCCUUCAAGAAUGGUGCAUUGCUUUGUUUACUUCAUUUCAUUUAAUGACAAAUAUGCUUGUUUAUUGAACAAAGCUUGCCUUAAGGGGCCCUAAGUCAUAGCUGGAGUUGAAACGGUGACAUAUGUUAUGGAGAACAAUUUCAGACAUGUUGCUGAUUCCGAUCAAAAAUGCCAUUGUAAAAAAGAAGAAUGUCUAUAGAAUACAAUAGCUUAGCCAAGACUGCUCCAUUGGUAAUUAGUAUUCUUUUUGUCAAUGGGCAAAUAAGCAUUUCUAAAGAAGCCUGCUUUUCCGAUUCAGAUUUCUUUAUUGUUUCAUUUUAAUUUAUAUUCAUAUAUAUUAAAAAAGAGCAUAAUUAUUAGGUCUUGUACUCCUUUUGACCCACAGCAGCUUAAAACAAAUAGUGAUUUUAGGAGAUGUUUAAUAGCUGGAUUGCCUGCCUGGUGGAAGAAAAAAUCCUUGAACCUGCUGGUCCUGGCUCUGAGGCUGCGGUAUCGUCUACCAGAAGGCAACAGCUGGAGAAGACCAUUAUUGGGAUGGCUGGGGUGUUUGAUUUUAACUGCUUUUUUCACACACCGGUCUUAAAUGAUUUUUAUUCUUUUCUCCCCAGAUCUUCAGAGCUGUCUUUUUCACCACCCUUUGAAUUGCUCUGCGGUUCUGGGCAGUGCAGUUUCCAUACCUGGCAGAUAUGCAUCCCGUUAGUAUGCUUUCAAUGAUGCUUCUGUAGAAGGAACAGAGUAUGCUGGGACCCAUGCUAAAUUUCUUGAGUCUUCUUAGGUGGAAGAGGCGUUGUUGUGGCUUUUUUUUAAACUUCCUCUUAGGAAACUUCCUCUUAGUUUAUCGGCAUUGGCUGAUAUGGACAUUUCUGCCGAUGUGCCUGGCCGAUAAGGUGACCUGUUAAUUAUGCGCACAUGAAGCCAAUGUUUACGUUGCUAUGAGCGCCAACAACAUACUUCAAGCUGUGUGGCAGUAUUUCCAAAUUCCGGAAACUGAUAACAAAAUUGCUAUUUGCAGGGCUUGUAAAGUACCAGUGAUGCGAGGAGGGGUAAAAUGAUACUCUUUUAAUGUUACCAAUUUAAUUACACAUCUUAGCCAUCAUCCUGAACUCUACACAGCACUAAGCCAGAAAAAAACGGCACCAGCCAAAACCGUUUACAAUGCAAUCAGUUUCUAAAGUGUGUAACGUUAGCUAACGUUAGAAAGCUAGCGUGAGUUUCAUGAAGUCCAGAAUGAAGGCUAGCUGUAAAGUUACUAGCCUACGUGGUCUAAUUCACUUUACUCUACAGACUGACAUUUUAAGUUUACAGGGUUACAGCUGCAUUUCUGUUAAUCUGAGAACAAUGUGUCAAACUGUCUUGUAGGCUAUUGUUCAAGUAUGACAUUUACAUGUUUAUGUGAAAAUUUUAGGCUAUUUAACUCAUUG